UAAAUGGCACGUCUGUGUUUUUUUUAAAUCACAACGUCUUUCGACAUUCGAGCGCGUACUAUGUAAAACUUAAAGUGAAAUUUACCAUUUAUUUUGACAUAAACUAUUGUGAAUAUUGCUUACCCAGUAUAAUAAUAAACUAUGUAUAUUUUGGUAUUUACCAAUACAGUUAAACAUUUUUAAUUUCAUAAUAGUUUUGAAAAUUUGCAUUGGAACUUUCAAUUUGCAUAAAAUAACAAUAUACUAUAUAAAUAAGGCUCACGGGGAGGUUCUUCUCCCAUACCCCUCUCCCCC
Non-coding RNA from Cinara cedri, 294 nucleotides. Lineage: Eukaryota; Metazoa; Arthropoda; Insecta; Hemiptera; Aphididae. The record is from the annotation of a GenBank genome assembly.